RNAcentral lists this long non-coding RNA (224 nucleotides) under Elaeis guineensis (African oil palm). Its description in RNAcentral is "long non-coding RNA (EGUI_LNC043445)". The record is from RNAcentral. Lineage: Eukaryota; Viridiplantae; Streptophyta; Magnoliopsida; Arecales; Arecaceae.
GAUAGAGAGGAGUAGUCCUAUAGGACUUGAGAGGUUAAAUCUGAGAGUUUGUGGCUAUAGCACUAUGUUUGAAGGAAAAGAGUUUCUAUGAGGAUCACAAUUAGAUUUGAGCUGAUCGAAUCAAUCAUAUGACGGAUGAUGAGGUCUGAGGAUUUAUCCAUGAUCUGUCAUCUAGUCGAGACUCAUGAUAGAAGGACUGAAUCACAAGUUAACUAUACCUUGAG